GACGAACGCUGGCGGCAUGCCUUACACAUGCAAGUCGAACGGUAACGGGCCUUCGGGUGCCGACGAGUGGCGAACGGGUGAGUAAUGUAUCGGAACGUACCUUUCAGUGGGGGAUAACGUAGCGAAAGUUACGCUAAUACCGCAUAUUCUGUGAGCAGGAAAGCAGGGGAUCGCAAGACCUUGCGCUGAUUGAGCGGCCGAUAUCAGAUUAGCUAGUUGGUGAGGUAAAGGCUCACCAAGGCGACGAUCUGUAGCGGGUCUGAGAGGAUGAUCCGCCACACUGGAACUGAGACACGGUCCAGACUCCUACGGGAGGCAGCAGUGGGGAAUAUUAGAAAUGGGCGGAAGCCUGAUCUAGCAACACCGCGUGUGCGAUGAAGGCCUUCGGGUCGUAAAGCACUUUUGGAGGGAUAGGAAGGAAGGUACCUCCAGAAUAAGUCUCGGCUAACUACGUG
Molecule: ribosomal RNA, 455 nt
Filed under: uncultured bacterium
Lineage: Bacteria
Description: bacterial SSU rRNA
Rfam family: Bacterial small subunit ribosomal RNA
Source: RNAcentral